GAUGAACGCUGGCGGCGUGCUUAACACAUGCAAGUCGAACGGAAAGGCCCUGCUCUUGUGGGGUGCUCGUGUGCCGAACGGGUGAGUAACACGUGAGUAACCUGUCCUUGACUUUGGGAUAACUUCAGGAAACUGGGGCUAAUACCGGAUAGGAGCUCCUGCUGCAUGGUGGGGGUUGGAAAGUUUCGGCGGUUGGGGAUGGACUCGCGGCUUAUCAGCUUGUUGGUGGGGUAGUGGCUUACCAAGCGUUUGACGGGUAGCCGGCCUGAGAGGGUGACCGGGCACAUGGGGACUGCGGGAGGGAGCAGACGCCUACGGGAGGCAGCGGUGGAGAAUAUUGCGCAAUGGGCGGAAGCCUGAUACAGCAGCGCCGCGAGCGGAAUAACGGCUUACGAGUUGUAAACCGCUUUCGAAUGAAACGAAGCGUGAGUGACGGUAAUUAGUAAGAAAGCACCGGCUAACUACGUG
RNAcentral lists this ribosomal RNA (468 nucleotides) under uncultured bacterium. Its description in RNAcentral is "partial 16S ribosomal RNA". It matches the Rfam family "Bacterial small subunit ribosomal RNA", at positions 28 to 507 of the family's 1533-position model. The record is from RNAcentral.